Long non-coding RNA from Bactrocera neohumeralis, 966 nucleotides. RefSeq lists it as uncharacterized. Lineage: Eukaryota; Metazoa; Arthropoda; Insecta; Diptera; Tephritidae. The record is from RefSeq and is a predicted model, not a curated record. The transcript is spliced from 5 exons.
CAUAGUAAUCACAAUCAGCUGCAAGUUCUGGAAGCUCGACAAUUUAUUGGGGGAAAAAUUUGCUCUUUAAAAGAAUGCAAUUGCAAUAAAUUUCAGUUGAAUUAGAAUAUGUACGACGUAAUGUCGAGUUUAGUUGAAACAGUCGCAAUCGUGCAUAUUCAAAUUUAUAAAAAUAAAUUACCGAGCAGACUUUACAUCUAAUAACGUAUACAUUCGCAUCAAUACAUUACACCUUCCGUGUUCUACGUUUGAAACUUCAUUUAUUUUCGAAACUUUAAUAUUCAAACAUAAUGUUCAAGUUGUUGUAAUGAAUACACAUCCUACUUGAUUUCAUAGAACCAAAAUCGCGUACAGAGAAACACAACUUGCUGUUGGAGAGUGCAAGAACUAAAUGAUUAAAGGCGACCGCUUACUGCUUUCAGGAUAAAAAUGCAUAUACCGAACAUGAAAGCAUCAUCAACGAGGAAACUCAGAGUAGGAGGUGGGAAAACAACAAGGCAACAGGACACAUGAAAAGGAAUUCACGGAGUAUGCAUAUAACACAAAAAAUAUAUAUCGCUAAAACAACUCAGAAGCACACAGUGGGCUAAGUCGGCCUACUAUUCUGUAUUCGGUUUAAACAAAUCACGGAUUCAACACACUAACACAUGCAUUUCUGCAUGCACAUCGUAUACAAUAAGGAACUGCAAUUGUCAUUUUUCUCUUACUGGUACAAGCGCAGGAGUAAUUUUGUUGUGGUAGGUUCACAACAACGCAAACCGGAGAAUAUUGUCAACAACUGGAAAUGUUUUAAAGGACCAGCAACCAUUUUUUAAAAGUUAAUAAUUUUAAAUCCAAAAUCAUGUUACCCGAGGGUUGUAACUAUAAACAAGACAUAUAUGUAAGUGUGUGAUGUGAAAAAUAUAUAUCAUUGAACUAUAUAUAUUUCUUAUUGUAAUAUGAGAAAUUCAAAAAAUCCUCAAAACU